Molecule: ribosomal RNA, 628 nt
Filed under: Desmoscolecidae sp. 564_6-1000_X
Lineage: Eukaryota; Metazoa; Nematoda; Chromadorea; Desmoscolecida; Desmoscolecidae
Description: eukaryotic LSU rRNA
Rfam family: Eukaryotic large subunit ribosomal RNA
Source: RNAcentral
AGAGGGCGUGAAACCGUUUAGAAGGAAACGAGAGGCGCUGCUAGCUACCGGCAAGAAUCAGCUUUCAUCGUCGUUUAGGCGUCGAUGUUUGUGCAUUUCUUGUCGGUUCGCACUGAAAGCUGUGAUUGUUGGGUGUCAUCUCAGAUGGAGAAAGAUGUAAUUUUGCAUUGUUUCCAUCUGUCCUGACACUCUAACAUGCCCAGUUAGCGAUGCCCUGUAAUGUUCGGUGUAUGGUAAUCUUUGUUGCACUGCUUUGUUACGGCCAUCGGCUGAUUAAGGUAGAUGUAUCAUUGAGAUCCAAUUCACCGCAAUGGUGUCGUUCGGUGUGAUUGUCGGCUACCCUCCCGACCCGUCUUGAAACACGGACCAAGGAGUCUAACACGCACGCGAGUCAUUGGGUUUGUUAAACCUAUAGGCGAAAUGAAAGUAAAGGUCGGCUCGGUCGACUGACACAUGACCCGUUAAGUUUAGCUUAACGGUGCAAUGUGAUCCCAUCUUAAAUGCUUGUCAUUGAGGUGGAGAUUGAGCGCGCGUGUUGGGACCCGAAAGAUGGUGAACUAUGCCUGAACAGGAUGAAGCCAGAGGAAACUCUGGUGGAAGUCCGAAACGGUUCUGACGUGCAAAUCGA